Non-coding RNA from Podarcis lilfordi (Lilford's wall lizard), 67 nucleotides. The record is from the annotation of a GenBank genome assembly. NCBI's taxonomy places the organism in Eukaryota, Metazoa, Chordata, Lepidosauria, Squamata, Lacertidae.
GUUCUCAGUUGGUUAGAGUGUGGUGCUGUUAACACCAAGAUUGCAGGUUCGAUCCCCGUAUGGGACA